RNAcentral lists this small RNA (107 nucleotides) under Marmota monax (woodchuck). Lineage: Eukaryota; Metazoa; Chordata; Mammalia; Rodentia; Sciuridae. The record is from RNAcentral.
GCUGGGUGUGGUGGCAUGUGCCUGUAAUCCCAGGGACUCAGGAGGCUGAGAUAGGAGGAUUGCAAAUUUGAGGUCAGCCUCAGCAACUUAGUAAGAGCCUGUCUCAA